Long non-coding RNA from Arvicola amphibius (Eurasian water vole), 797 nucleotides. RefSeq lists it as uncharacterized. Lineage: Eukaryota; Metazoa; Chordata; Mammalia; Rodentia; Cricetidae. The record is from RefSeq and is a predicted model, not a curated record. The transcript has 2 exons.
GUUUUUUGUGGUGUUGGGGAUGGAACCCAGGGGCUUCUGGAUUCUUGGCAAGUGCUUCACCACUGGCUUCCGUCCCGGCCCUCAGAAGACUUCCAUUGAAGAAUGGAAUGGUGCUACUGUGAGCUGGGAGAGACCUGCCGUUCUUGCAUCUCACCUGAAUGUGGUUAAAGACUCUUCUUCACUAACCAGAUCCUCUGCAGAUGUAGCAGGCUCCCUGGCUUCUACUGAAUAAACAAGCAGAAGAACCUGGCUAAGGAAGCUGCAAGUGACACUCUUCCACUUCUCCAGUGAGGAAGUUCAGUGUUAUCUUAUCAAGAUGUGAAAGAGGUGCCCAAGAGGAACCUGGGGGUCUGAGUGGAGAGCAAGAACAGAUGCUGAGAAAGGAAAAUGAGGACAGUUAUUUAAACCACAGUCAUGUCCCCACGCAGUCAUAGCAUUCGGUGUUUGUAAUUUUCUUUCCAGUCUUUUAUUUACAUCAUAACUGUGAAAACCAGAUUAACAUUUUACUAUAUAUAGUUUUAUGCCUGAAUUCAAAAAAAUUAACAUAUGCCAAGAGCAUUUAUCCAUUAAACAUACUGCUAAGUAUUCUAUUAACGACAUAAAAUCUCAUCUUCUGGCCGUUCUAUAACUAUGUGGAACUGAUCUGUAGAAGGGCAUUGUGGCUGUUUUCAGCUCUACUAUUAUAACACAGGUGUAGGGGAACAAUAAGGGCUUUUAUAUCUACAGUGUUGCUAUUUAAAAUUCAAUUCCACCAUCCUUUUAGACAAGCAUUUGUACAUAAAAUGUCUAACCUCUGA